RNAcentral lists this transfer RNA (85 nucleotides) under Jeotgalicoccus halotolerans. RNAcentral describes it as "tRNA-Leu". It matches the Rfam family "tRNA". Rfam says of the family: Transfer RNA (tRNA) molecules are approximately 80 nucleotides in length. Their secondary structure includes four short double-helical elements and three loops (D, anti-codon, and T loops). Further hydrogen bonds mediate the characteristic L-shaped molecular structure. tRNAs have two regions of fundamental functional importance: the anti-codon, which is responsible for specific mRNA codon recognition, and the 3' end, to which the tRNAs corresponding amino acid is attached (by aminoacyl-tRNA synthetases). tRNAs cope with the degeneracy of the genetic code in two manners: having more than one tRNA (with a specific anti-codon) for a particular amino acid; and 'wobble' base-pairing, i.e. permitting non-standard base-pairing at the 3rd anti-codon position. RNAcentral also lists the same sequence under 5 other names. Lineage: Bacteria; Bacillati; Bacillota; Bacilli; Caryophanales; Staphylococcaceae. The record is from RNAcentral.
GCGGGUAUGGCGGAACUGGCAGACGCACUAGACUUAGGAUCUAGCGCUUCACGGCGUGGGGGUUCGACUCCCUUUACCCGCACCA